AUCGUAGCAUGAGCGUCCGGCCUUGCUCUAUAAGUUAAAAGGGAAUCCAGUGUAAAUCUGGAGCUGACGCGCAGCGGUAAGGGGAAAUUGGGGGCAAUAGCAUUUUGCAGACACUGUCGUAUUACGAUGGGAAGUCAUUGUCUCUAUGUUGGCAACAACAGUACUCAAGUCCGAAGACCUGCCGGUAUACGUCGCAAUGU
Molecule: non-coding RNA, 200 nt
Filed under: Serratia sp. (in: enterobacteria)
Lineage: Bacteria; Pseudomonadati; Pseudomonadota; Gammaproteobacteria; Enterobacterales; Yersiniaceae
Source: RNAcentral